UAUUCAGCGUCGCCAGUGGGAAUAUCCUCUCGCGCGCGGGAAUAUUUUGCCGGGAACGGCGAAUCUACCGUGGAUGCCCCUCGCUCCCUCCCUUCUCGCGCGUCUUGCACCGCACGGCCACAAUUCCUCUCCUCUCACCUCCUCUCUCUUCUCGUCACCUCAUCGUCCUCGCUUCGUGCUCGUGUGCGUACAGCUUCCUCUGCCGAGCCUCCUCUCAUGCGGCCAUCUUCUGGUCGAAGCCGUCGGCCGACGACGACGCGUCCGUCGCCGGGGAGAGCAAGCGAUAAUGAAGCAACCAUCCACCACUGCACGAUUACCAGGAAAUUGGAAUAAGCGUUCAGCGACACCACGCAGAUGUAUGAAGCAACGAAGAAUCGAUUUUGAAAUCUCAGUAUGAUACAGGUCCGGGUGUCAGGCCGGCAGCACCAGCGCAGCACGUGGCCGUGAAACAGAUACAGGCUACACAUUCUCUUGCAGGUACAUACAUCAACCGCGCCCUGCGACACUUCUGCCCAGGCGCGUGCUAUGGUUUCUUCGAUGUUCUUGUGUCCUAUUAUUCUGCUAAGAGCAGGCGUUCUCUCAGAAAAGUUCCACAUUUGUUGGAGAUGCUACGCUAAAAUCAUCAUCUCCGAAGUAUUGGGGUGAAGUGAAAUAUCAUCUCGACUCCCACAAGGUAUUGUAUUGAGAAUAAUUUGCAUGUCCUUGUUUUCUGCAAAAUCGUAGAAAGUUCAGUGAGCGCAAGGCCACGACACAGAGGAUCUGUCUCACAGAUAUUGUGCAAGAGAUCAUGGUGGGUCCUGUUACCUUAUGACUCAAUUGCUGCCACCCUUACUGGCUUCAUUACCUUUACAAUGUUCCUCAUGUGCUCAAACCCCAUGACUAUCACCCCUAUGAGAUAAAGAAAGCUUAGUUGCAGCUUGCCAAGCAA
This is a long non-coding RNA of Panicum hallii, 928 nucleotides long. RefSeq lists it as uncharacterized. The transcript is spliced from 2 exons. The record is from RefSeq and is a predicted model, not a curated record. NCBI's taxonomy places the organism in Eukaryota, Viridiplantae, Streptophyta, Magnoliopsida, Poales, Poaceae.